GACGUAGGGCGCGAGCGUUGUCCGGAUUUAUUGGGCGUAAAGAGCUCGUAGGCGGCUUGUCGCGUCGUCCGUGAAAACCCAUGGCUCAACUGUGGGCUUGCGGUCGAUACGGGCAGGCUGGAGUUCGGUAGGGGGGACUGGAAUUCCUGGUGUAGCGGUGAAGUGCGCAGAUAUCAGGAGGAACACCGGUGGCGAAGGCGGGUCUCUGGGCCGAUACUGACGCUGAGGAGCGAAAGCGUGGGGAGCGAACAGG
Molecule: ribosomal RNA, 253 nt
Filed under: uncultured bacterium
Lineage: Bacteria
Description: partial 16S ribosomal RNA
Rfam family: Bacterial small subunit ribosomal RNA
Source: RNAcentral